AGCCACGCAGUGAGCACAAAGCGAACUAUUCUUUCGCCUUUUACUAAAGAAUACCGUGUGCGCGCUGCAUUCAGUGGCAUACGCCUAUUUUUGGAGGGNUGUCAGUUAACUUCAG
Molecule: small nuclear RNA, 115 nt
Filed under: Nicotiana attenuata
Lineage: Eukaryota; Viridiplantae; Streptophyta; Magnoliopsida; Solanales; Solanaceae
Description: snRNA U5
Rfam family: U5 spliceosomal RNA
About the family: U5 RNA is a component of both types of known spliceosome.
Source: RNAcentral